AUAGAUAUAGAAGUUAAAUUUAUUUCUAAUCACACCUCAAACCGUCCAUUGUAUUCUGCUACAUUCUGGGCUACAAUUAAAAUACAGUUUUCUGUGUACAUUCAUACAUAAGUUUUUUGCAUGAUUUUGAAUAAAUUCAAGGAUGCAUAAUAAUAUUUAUAAUAUAAUAUAUGUAUGUAUAUUAUAUAUAAUAUUGUAUACAUCUUUUGUUCGUUCCUUUACAAUUUGGUUGGCUCUAUUUCCAGAAAUCAAAAUAUCUUUAAUAGGGUUCAUUCUGCUGUCAAGGAUUGAAAAAGACUAUCGUUGGCAAUAACUCGAUUAUGGGUCUAAAACUGCGAAUCUAAAUGCAAAUACCCUUCGGUAUUAGGCUGAGAAUAAUUUCAACAUGCACACUAGGGUCCUUUUUUUCGCAAACAAAAUUUUAACACGCAUACACUCUCUUUUUUUCGUUUUAUUAUACUUAUUUUAUUAUGUUUGUGUAUGUAAAAGCAUAACUUCUAACACGAUUCGACACGGCUAAGUGUAAUUUAAAAAUGGUAAAACAAGUUGCUUUAAGUAUGAAGAUACAAAACUACAAAAAAGAUAAGAACCCAGAAAUCUUAUUGCUUUACUGGAACGCUACGGAAUAUAUGGAAAAUAUGCAUCAAAGUUGAAAAAAAGUACUAAACGAUAAAUUUUUACGUUUACCUUAAUCUUUGUACAUAUGUAUGUACAUGCUGGGGUCGGCAGGAUUCGGAUGUAUGACUGAAGUAAUACAAAAUCUGAAUCAUAAUACGCCAUCAAAAUUAGUUUACUGUGGAUUCAUGGAGGGAUCUACAGUAUGUCAAGAAACUCUUUACACACUGAAAAUAAAUUAAAUUGUUUGACUUUGGAUAAGAAAAUAAUGGUCUUUGGUUCAAAUUUAUCAAAUUUUUUUAAUUCCUAACCAUUCAGGGAUUAAUUAUAAAGUAGUUAGUGAAAAAAGAAUAACAAAACUAUAAAUAGGUAACUUACAAAACAACAAAAACAAUGAUUACUCAUUUUUGACACUGUCAAGAAACUCUUUACACAUUUCGUUUUCGAGCUCUGUUUUGAUCUCGUUCUUAGAAAAAACGGGACUUUACCGUAAUCUAUGCUUUUGGCGUUGCUCAGUGAUGCUCUAUUUUUGCAUUGACUUUGAUUUGGUUGCGAAAUUUUGACCGGUGCACAUGUACAGAGUAACAUUCUGAAAUUUUUAAAAUGCCUGGCAAAAGACUUAGUUUUGACGUUGUCCAGUUGAUUUACUAUAAUCACCAGUUGGGCAAAUCUGUUGCAGACAUGGUAGAAAUGUUUUCAGUAUCAAGGAAAACAAUUUACAAUGUCCUAAGUCGCGCGAAGAACGAAGGGAGACUGGAAACAAAAUCUGGAGGUGGCCGUAAAAGGAAGAUAGACAGACGGGCAGACCGCGUAAUCAUGAGGAAAGAUAAUCCGAAUCCGCAAAUAUCGGUCAGGACUCUGGCCAAGGAACUUGACUUGGUUGUUUCACACGAAACAGUACGCCAGGUUAUUCUACGCCAUGAAUACUCUUCCAGAGUGGCAC
Long non-coding RNA from Drosophila pseudoobscura, 1558 nucleotides. RefSeq lists it as uncharacterized. The record is from RefSeq and is a predicted model, not a curated record. The transcript is spliced from 2 exons. NCBI's taxonomy places the organism in Eukaryota, Metazoa, Arthropoda, Insecta, Diptera, Drosophilidae.